GGAAGGGUGGCCGAGAGGCCGAAGGCAGUCGCCUGCUAAGCGAUUGUAGGGGCUAAAACCUCUACCGAGGGUUCGAAUCCCUCCCCUUCCGCCA
RNAcentral lists this transfer RNA (94 nucleotides) under Bacteroidota bacterium. RNAcentral describes it as "tRNA-Ser". It matches the Rfam family "tRNA". Rfam says of the family: Transfer RNA (tRNA) molecules are approximately 80 nucleotides in length. Their secondary structure includes four short double-helical elements and three loops (D, anti-codon, and T loops). The record is from RNAcentral. RNAcentral also lists the same sequence under 1 other name. Lineage: Bacteria; Pseudomonadati; Bacteroidota.